This 484-nucleotide ribosomal RNA is filed under the name uncultured bacterium. RNAcentral describes it as "bacterial SSU rRNA". It matches the Rfam family "Bacterial small subunit ribosomal RNA", at positions 28 to 524 of the family's 1533-position model. The record is from RNAcentral.
GACGAACGCUGGCGGCGUGCUUAACACAUGCAAGUCGAACGGUGACCCAGGGCUUGCCCUGGUGAUCAGUGGCGAACGGGUGAGUAACACGUGGGGCAACCUGCCCCUGACUUCGGGAUAACUCCUCGAAAGAGGAGCUAAUACCGGAUACGACCACUUCGGACAUCCGAUGGUGGUGGAAAGUUUUUCGGUCAGGGAUGGGCCCGCGGCCUAUCAGCUAGUUGGUGGGGUAAUGGCCUACCAAGGCGACGACGGGUAGCCGGCCUGAGAGGGCGACCGGCCACACUGGGACUGAGAUACGGCCCAGACUCCUACGGGAGGCAGCAGUGGGGAAUAUUGCGCAAUGGGCGAAAGCCUGACGCAGCGACGCCGCGUGAGGGAUGAAGGCCUUCGGGUUGUAAACCUCUUUCAGCAGGGACGAAGCGAAAGUGACGGUACCUGCAGAAGAAGCACCGGCUAACUACGUGCCAGCAGCCGCGGUAAU